GCUGCAGCUAACGCAUUAAGCACUCCGCCUGGGGAGUACGACCGCAAGGUUGAAACUCAAAGGAAUUGACGGGGGCCCGCACAAGCGGUGGAGCAUGUGGUUUAAUUCGAAGCAACGCGAAGAACCUUACCAGGUCUUGACAUCCUUUGACCACUCUAGAGAUAGAGCUUCCCCUUCGGGGGCAAAGUGACAGGUGGUGCAUGGUUGUCGUCAGCUCGUGUCGUGAGAUGUUGGGUUAAGUCCCGCAACGAGCGCAACCCUUAUUGUUAGUUGCCAUCAUUCAGUUGGGCACUCUAGCAAGACUGCCGGUGACAAACCGGAGGAAGGUGGGGAUGACGUCAAAUCAUCAUGCCCCUUAUGACCUGGGCUACACACGUGCUACAAUGGGAAGUACAACGAGUCGCGAAGUCGCGAGGCUAAGCUAAUCUCUUAAAGCUUCUCUCAGUUCGGAUUGUAGGCUGCAACUCGCCUACAUGAAGCCGGAAUCGCUAGUAAUCGCGGAUCAGCACGCCGCGGUGAAUACGUUCCCGGGCCUUGUACACACCGCCCGUCACACCACGAGAGUUUG
This 568-nucleotide ribosomal RNA is filed under the name Enterococcus durans. RNAcentral describes it as "bacterial SSU rRNA". It matches the Rfam family "Bacterial small subunit ribosomal RNA", at positions 845 to 1414 of the family's 1533-position model. Lineage: Bacteria; Bacillati; Bacillota; Bacilli; Lactobacillales; Enterococcaceae. The record is from RNAcentral.